Molecule: ribosomal RNA, 440 nt
Filed under: uncultured bacterium
Lineage: Bacteria
Description: partial 16S ribosomal RNA
Rfam family: Bacterial small subunit ribosomal RNA
Source: RNAcentral
CCUACGGGCGGCAGCAGUGGGGAAUAUUGCACAAUGGGGGAAACCCUGAUGCAGCGACGCCGCGUGAGUGAAGAAGUAUUUCGGUAUGUAAAGCUCUAUCAGCAGGGAAGAAAAUGACGGUACCUGAUUAAGAAGCCCCGGCUAACUACGUGCCAGCAGCCGCGGUAAUACGUAGGGGGCAAGCGUUAUCCGGAUUUACUGGGUGGAAAGGGAGCGUAGACGGCAGCACAAGUCUGGAGUGAAAUGCCGGGGCUGAACCCCGGAACUGCUUUGGAAACUGUGCAGCUAGAGUGCAGGAGAGGGAAGUGGAAUUACUAGUGUAGCGGUGAAAUGCGUAGAUAUUAGGAGGAACACCAGAGGCGAAGGCGGCUUACUGGACUGUAACUGACGUUGAGGCUCGAAAGCGUGGGGAGCAAACAGGAUUAGAUACCCGAGUAGUC